RNAcentral lists this long non-coding RNA (1833 nucleotides) under Phascolarctos cinereus (koala). Its description in RNAcentral is "lncRNA (ENSPCIG00000023214.2)". Lineage: Eukaryota; Metazoa; Chordata; Mammalia; Diprotodontia; Phascolarctidae. The record is from RNAcentral.
AUGAGAAGCUGGAGGAGGCGGAGGCUCCGCCCCGCGCCUUGUCCUAACGAUUCUGUCUUCUCUCUUUCUCUCACUGUCUCUCUCUAUGGUUGCCUACCUCCAGCCCACGUCCUCUGCCCCGCUUCCGGCCGCCGCGCCCUGCCUCCGAGAGCCCUUCUUCCUUCCCUUUCCUCUCGUUUCCAGUCCUCCUCGGGGCGUUCCCAUGGCUGCUGCCGUAGGCACUUGGGCUUUCUCGAUGCCGGCUGUGCGGAAGGUGGGCUCGCUGCUCAAGAACGGGGCUGGGGCUACGGACUCUCUGCAGGAGGCGACGAAAUCGAGAAUGGUGAGAAAACUGGUCAAUACAUAGUUGAACAAGGAGGCUACCCAAAUAAAGAUGGGCUCGUUCAAUGUGGUGCAGCUGUCAUGGAAGGUCUCCCCAGUCGAUUUGGAGCAAUGGCGGCCUUACAUGGGAAUAUUUGGGGAAAAAAGCAAGCUUCUCUGGGCACAAUACCUUAGGUAAUUAAUUCAUUUAUUGAGAGCAUUUUUAUAUUUUAAUGGUAAAAAGCAAUAAUAUAGUCAGUAAAUGUUACUUUAGGGGUGAAAAAGUUUCCCACAUUUCCCACAUUAUGUAACUUCAUUCUGAGCAGUAAUUUGCAAACCAAGAGAAUACAGCUAAGAGUUAUCAGUCUGAUAUAUGUCUUCCUAUAGUGUUAGACACACUAGAAAAUUAUGAUAUGACAAAUCUUCACCAAACUUUGUCUAGUUUCUUUAAUUUUUAUAGUCAGUCAGCAAUUUUGUCUGGUUUCCUUGAUGUCUGUAGUCAAUCAUCCUUAAUUAAGGUUUUGGAGAGGGUGAGACACUUUCUAGGUUUUGUUUAAGACAUGGACCCAGUUGGUCUUCUUACAUUGACUCCUCUCUUGUGUUCUACAAUCUAGCAACACCUAGUUUUUUGUUUGUUUGUUUGUUUUGUUUUUAGCGCUAAGCACUGUCUCCCAACUAUGUUCGUUUGUACUAGCUGUCACUCAUGCUGGAAUGCUCUCUCUCCUAACCUCAGCCUCCUGGAUUCACUCAGACUCGUUCCAAAUCCCACUUUCUUCUGCAAGAGGCAUUUACCAGGACCUUCCACUUCUAGUACCGUCCUCUGGCUCUGGGAUCACUUCCCAUUUGUACUAUGUAUAUCUGUCUUCCUCAUUUGAAUAUGAGUUCCUUGAGGGCAGGAACCAUGCUUUUUAACUUUCUUGAAUUCCCCAGUGCUUUGCACAGUCCCUGGCACAUAGUAUAUGGUUAGUAAAUGUUUGUUGAUUGAUUUGAAUGGGAUGUCCCAGUGAAGACUUCUCAGUGUAAUUAAGGUAAUGAGUUCAGAAGGUAGUGUGAGAAAUGAACUCUCAGAAGUGAAGGCUCCUCAAAGGGUCAAAUAAUUCUUGAUUAUUACUUUCAAAAUCAUCCCCCACUUAGACCCUGUUUUUAAGCACUUAACCGAAAGAAUAAGCCCUGCCCCACCCCCAACCUGAGCUUCUGGCCUCUUUCCUUGUCUUUGAAUUUCGGGUCUGGAAUGUCAGCCUCACCUCCCAGUUAAGAGGAUAGGAAGAAACUUUCGAGCUUAGAAUGUGGUAAGGGAUAGUGGUGGGUGGAAACUUGUUUGCGUGGUGGGUGGAGGCUUGUUUGCGUGGUAGGCGGAGAUUUGCUUUCAUAAGGUGGCCCCUCUUUCUCUCUCUCUCUCUCUCUCUCUCUCUCUCUCUCUCUCUCUCUCUCUCUCUCUCUCUCUCGCUCUCUCCCUCUCCCUCUCCCCACGUAUCAUCGAAGGAACAGACAGCCAUCUCCCGAGACUGUAAUAAAGGUAACCUUUACUUUACA